UUCCCAAAAGCUGCUUAUUUGGGGAAGGUUUUUUAAUUAGCCUUUUCUCAAUUAAAAGCUAUCUGGGAGAGAAAAGACCACACUCCACAGUGAACUACAUUGUUGUAGUCCAUUACUUACUUUGUGGCCAACAGU
Molecule: small nucleolar RNA, 135 nt
Organism: Sarcophilus harrisii (Tasmanian devil)
Lineage: Eukaryota; Metazoa; Chordata; Mammalia; Dasyuromorphia; Dasyuridae
Source: Ensembl